GACGAACGCUGGCGGCGUGCUUAACACAUGCAAGCCGAACGGAAAGGCCCUGCUUUCGUGGGGUGCUCGAGUGGCGAACGGGUGAGUAACACGUGAGUAACCUGCCCUUGACUUUGGGAUAACUUCAGGAAACUGGGGCUAAUACCGGAUAGGAGCUCCUGCUGCAUGGUGGGGGUUGGAAAGUUUCGGCGGUUGGGGAUGGACUCGCGGCUUAUCAGCUUGUUGGUGGGGUAGUGGCUUACCAAGGCUUUGACGGGUAGCCGGCCUGAGAGGGUGACCGGCCACAUUGGGACUGAGCUACGGCCCAGACCCCUACGGGAGGCAGCGGUGGGGAGUGUUGCACAAUGGGCGGACGCCUGAUGCAGCAACGCCGCGUGCGGGAUAACGGCAUUCGGGUUGUCAACCGCUUUCGCCUGUGACGAAGCGUGAUUGACGGUAAUGGGUAAAGAAGCACCGGCUAACUGCGUG
RNAcentral lists this ribosomal RNA (468 nucleotides) under uncultured bacterium. RNAcentral's name for it is "partial 16S ribosomal RNA". It matches the Rfam family "Bacterial small subunit ribosomal RNA", at positions 28 to 507 of the family's 1533-position model. The record is from RNAcentral.